AUAGAAUUUGAACAUUUGCUUCCAUAAAUGCUCUGACCAGUUUAAUAUGUGACACGUUCUCUAUCUAAGAACUCCCUAUUCAAUGGAUUUUUGGAGCAGGGAGACGGAAUAGGAGCUUGCUCUGUCCACUCCACGCACCCCCCCCCGGCAUUGCAGUGCUUCUAGGAAUGGUGCACCUCCC
RNAcentral lists this small nuclear RNA (181 nucleotides) under Gopherus evgoodei (Goodes thornscrub tortoise). RNAcentral describes it as "U2 spliceosomal RNA (ENSGEVG00005005785.1)". It matches the Rfam family "U2 spliceosomal RNA". Rfam says of the family: U2 is a small nuclear RNA (snRNA) component of the spliceosome (involved in pre-mRNA splicing). Complementary binding between U2 snRNA (in an area lying towards the 5' end but 3' to hairpin I) and the branchpoint sequence (BPS) of the intron results the bulging out of an unpaired adenosine, on the BPS, which initiates a nucleophilic attack at the intronic 5' splice site, thus starting the first of two transesterification reactions that mediate splicing. The record is from Rfam by way of RNAcentral. Lineage: Eukaryota; Metazoa; Chordata; Testudines; Testudinidae.